UCGGCUCAUCUCGUUCUCCUCUUAUUCCUCUCCGGUGGUUAAGGCAGGUGUCGGGGCUGCGGACGCGACGGUUCAGCUUGGUGUGUGUGCCCCCAUCGGGGCGGCCUCCAGCGGAUCUGGGAUGGGGCAUGGCCACGCAGGGGCUCCUCCGGCCGCGGGUCGGGGCUGUGGACGCGGACUCGGCGGUUCAGCUUGGCGUGCGUGCCCCCAUCGCGGCGGCCUCCAGCGGACCUGGGAUGGGGCGCGACAACGCAGGGCCUCCUCCGGCCGCGGCUGACACUGUUGCAAAGGAUGGCCUCGACUGCGGCGUCCUCCUUCGACGGCGAGCUGGCACAGGUUCACCAGCCGUCCCCUCUAUCCGACUACUUCAUCUCUACCUUGGAUUUUGAUUUAUGGAUUUUCGUUUUUUUUUCUAUUUGGGAUUGAGAUUUGGAGGCUGAAGGAUUGAGUUCCAGUGAUUGCCUCACCUCGUCCCUCAUCUUUCUCUAGGCAGGAGCAAUCGAUUUCUACCUCAAAUAAGAUAUAGAUCCUAAUUCUUCUUUAUUACAGCAAACGGAUUGGCCUUGAAUUUGGAGUGCGGAAUGUGGAUUUAGCAGCCAUGUGUGUUAAUUUGUUGGUAGAAUUGGAUUGUAUGCCUAUGUGUGAAUGCUACUAUUAUUGAUUUAGCACCUUUUUUUUGGCAAAAAUUAAGUUAUUAGAUUAGUUUGCAUUUUUUUAUUCUGUUUCUAAAAUUUUUUGUACAUGUUUGUGCUCCGUUAGUCAUGUGCAUAGACAAGAGGAAGCUUAAUAAAAGGACAGGAAUUGCUCCAAUGCCCAUUGUUGUCGUUGCUUCAUGUGUGCCUUACUAUAUGGGGCCUUUGUUUAUUACUUGAUUAAUGAAAAACAAGAGAAAAUGUAUGAGAUGUGGGCCAAUGGAGGAGACGGAUAAAUCUAGGAUUGACUAGUGGGAAAUUUUUUUUGUAAGGAUGAUACACGAUGCAUUAAAAUAAUUAGAAUGAAGAGAGAACUUUUCUACAUAUAAGUGAUAUCUAGCACCUCUGGGAUUUUUCAGAAACAGAAUAAAAGAAAUAUUCACUAUAUCUUUCAUUGAUAUAUAUAUGAUAAUAAUGACGCUUAGAGGUGCAUCUUGCAUGCCUCUUGAUUUUAAUGCGUUUUAAUAGUAACCAUGCACUUUUCAGAUUGAAAUGGAGGCUAUUUCUGCUGGUACCAGUAGGCAGUAGCUUCCUACUCAAACAAGGAUUAACCUAGAUGAAUUUUCACACAAUAGAAGAGAUUAUGUUAUGUUUCUAAUUUUUCAGAGCAUGGUACGAGUGCUCCACAUUUUUUUUGUUGAUUUUGUUCUCCUAGAUGCAAGGACCGAGUACCAAUCAUAUCGCUUGCGAGGUUGUAGCGGUCUCUGAUAAGAUGAAAGAUGGUUAGGUUUCUUUCACAUUCUACAUUUUCUUUCUAAUAAUUUCAUUCCUUUGUUACUAUGUUCUAGAGUUGGGAAACAGCAUGCAUACUUCAAUAACCAUUUUUAUGUCAGCAGUUGACUUCACCAGAACAAGUUAAUAAGAAAAAUUCCAGAGUCUCUAUCUUCUGUAGGUAAGAUGGAGUAACACUUUUCACCAUUUUUUUGUCCUUUUUUUCCUCGCAGAUCGCUGUUCUUACAAAAGUGCCACAUGGCUGUUCAUACAAAUAGAUGUUCAUGUCAACUCUUUAUUUUACCGUUCUGUGUACAUUUGUUUUUUCUCCUAAUUUUUAUGCUAAACAAAAUCUGAACAAUCAUAAAAGCUCCAAAUAAGAGAGCACCAAAAUUGUCAGCAAAUAGACAAAAAAGAAGAAGUAUGGAAACUAAUAUAAUUUAUCUGUUGAAUGUCGUCUGGUGGAGAUUUGCAAUAUCUGGAGCAGAAUAGAGUUGUAAGCUUGUUCACUCAUAGGAGAAAUAGAAAGAGAAUCAUAUCUCAUGCAUGUAGGAGUAUUCAUUUCAUUUUCAGGUCAUCUAAUAUCCAGUAUACAAGUGGCUUUAUUAAUUUGGUUAUUUCCUGAAUCUUUGUCUUGCAUGAGUGCAAUUUGAGGCAUUAUGAUCCUUUCCCAGACUCCACCUUGCAUGGGAGUUUACAGCACUGGAUCAGUCAUUUAUAGAGCUCAAACAAACACUGGAUGAUUUCAAUUUCUUAUUACACAUAAUUUAAGCAAUUGUUAAGAAAGUUUACCUCUGAGAUGCUGCUAUGGAUAAGUUUGUCGCUUUUCCAUGCACCACUAUUUUUGUUUGAGUACUGUUUUUAGAGUUGCACUAUGGACAAGUUUGUCACUUCUCCAGGGACAACUGUUAUGUUAAUGCUAGUUGCUUGAGGUGACUUUCAGAGUAGCAGUGUUGCUCAUUGGCAGUAUUAAAUCUAUUGUUUUCCUCAGUACUACCAUUUUCACAUGGAUGCCACUUUGAGGUGAUUAAUUACUUCCUUUCUUUCCUUUUUUUGGCAUCUAUCUUAGGCCAUUAUCCAAAAGAGCUAAUGAAUUUGGCUGAAAAGUCAUUACAUUGGCUGCAAGAGGCUAUAAUUUGCAGGUACUUUGCAGAAUAAAUCUAAAGUUUCAUUUAUUUCUUUGUACUCUUGUGACCUACAAUUGCAUUUUUUUUUGCACAAAGAUAUCUUGUGAAACCUGUUUCUCACAUGUCAAGGACCUCCAACCAAAGUGAAUUGCAAGUUUAGAUUGUUACCACUAACAGAUUGUGGAUUGAACUUCUCUUUCGUUGUUCAUAGACAAAUAAGUUUGUAUAUGCUAAGCAUGAUUGUUGUCCAAUGGAGGCCUCCGGAGGCGCCGGUGCGUAGUGGGGUUCUAAAGCGAGAUGAUAAUGUGAAGAGAGGUAGAGGCCGACCUAAUUUGACCUGGGACGAGUCGGUUAAGAGAGACUUGAAGGAGUGGAAUAUCUCUAAGGAACUAACUAUGGAUAGGAGUGCUUGGAGACUAUCAAUAGACGUGCCUGAACCGUGACCCUUUUCUUCGUUUUGCUUAUCUCUUUCUCUACCUUUUGCCUUGUGUUCCUUUUGUGUCUCUGUUGGAGCUUUGGUGUUCCUUAUGGAUUUCAUCUCUAGCCUACCUCAACUUGCUUGGGAUAAAAGGCUAUGUUGUUGUUGUUGUUGUAUGCUAAGCAUGAUUGUUUCAGGAAAAAAAACUUCAGUCCUUGCCAUAUGCCCUCUCUAUUGUCUUCCUAUAGCGCCCAUGAAAGGCAAAUUGUAUGUAACCAUUUCAUCAAUAGAUACGUUCGAUUGUUCAAACCAUUCCAUGAUUUGUCUGGCCAUUCUUCUCACACAAUGCUUAUUAUUGUAGGUCCUUCAAGAGUAAGUGCAUCUUGAUUUGCUCUCCUUGCAUUGCUCCAUCUCCUUGCUGCAAAUUUCAUUGAUUCCCGUUCUACUUCAUUUCAUUAGUAUAUUUUUUUCUCUCCUUGCCAAACUGUAAUACAAGGGAAGUUUUGAAGACUAGAAGGGUCUACUCCACAUAUAUAUUAACUGUUUUAUAGGAUGUUGAUUGCGGAAAUAAUUACCUUUGACUCCCAAGCCUUCCAAAGAAGCUACAAAAAGGGCACAUCCUUACUAAACAAGAACCAUAGAGCUUUGGAAGUCAACUGCAGUGGCUGCAUGAACGUCCAUAUGGGUCACGAGUCCCUACCGUAUUCAUGGAACUUUGUCCUAUUGAGAAAUUGGUAAAUUCAGAAGGCUGUAUAUUGUCUGCCUUGCCUUUUAUGUAUCAGUUUACCAUGAUCUUCAUAUUUAUCGCUUUUGUAAUAACUUAAAAUGUUCUUCAUACAGCUUGCUCUGUUUUAUGAUCUUUCGUAUCAUUGCAAUGAGUUUUAACUGUUAGAUCACUUGUCUGUAUUUCCACUGUUGCAUGAGUGUUAAGAGGCCAAGAAUUGAGAAUUUCAUAAAUUAUUUGCUUAGUGCGUUUACAUCGGCAAUGUAAUGAGAAUUUUAUGUUGGUGGGUUGUUGUUAUAAUAUGAUCAUAAAGAUCGAUCAAGAAGCAAUCUUUGGAGAUCAAUGGGCACAUUAAGCCUUGUGAAGAUUGACAUAAUCUAUGAGUUUUGGAUUUGGCCAAGAAUCAUUUGCAGACAGUUUUGUAACCAUGAGAAGUUCCUCGGUUAUGUACCAACAGCUUAGUGAUUUGACUGCAUCAUUUUCUCGUUAAGCGUUAUAUAUAGUAUUGUGCUGCUA
This is an RNA transcript of Panicum virgatum (switchgrass), 4188 nucleotides long. RefSeq lists it as uncharacterized. NCBI's taxonomy places the organism in Eukaryota, Viridiplantae, Streptophyta, Magnoliopsida, Poales, Poaceae. The transcript has 2 exons. The record is from RefSeq and is a predicted model, not a curated record.